This 735-nucleotide long non-coding RNA is filed under the name Vigna radiata. RNAcentral's name for it is "long non-coding RNA (VRAD_LNC005768)". Lineage: Eukaryota; Viridiplantae; Streptophyta; Magnoliopsida; Fabales; Fabaceae. The record is from RNAcentral.
AAUUAAUGCGGCUGGAAUUUAAAAUAGUAAAAAAAAAUGCAAAGUGCAAGAAUAUAUUGAAUUGCAACAAGUUUUGGACUUUAUAUAAAUAUAAAAGUGUUGCCGUAACAUCACUUCCAUCAAUCACCGAAAACCAUGCUUCUCAAAGAAAAAUUGUGCANUGAUUGUAAACUAAAUCAACAACCUUUUACUAAAUCAAAUAAAAUUGAAAUGCUACUCCUAUAUAAAACNUUCCAGCCCCCCAUAAAACCAAAACAAGUGGCGGCUGCCCCUUUAAUCACAAAAUGCCAAGAUUGAAUCUCAAGUGAGUGGCUGNUGUCGCAAAUUAAAUGAAGAACUGCACCGUGUGCUUCUACAAAUCAAUCAACGUGUAAAAGAAAAUUAAAGUGCUUCAUACAUUCAACCAAAAUCAGAGAAAAUGAACAUGGUUCCAAGCUCAAAAGCAAAGAGAAGAGAACCUUUCAGCCCAAAUGAAAAAAAUGCCGANAGAAUAGUAUGGUGAGCCCCAAAAAGUGACGGNUGGUCUCCUAGGUAACAAUCCCUAGGACAUGUGUCUUAAAAUUGGGUGGGGUCCACCCUAAAAAAAAUAAAACCCUAGGGUGACAAGUGUCCUACAAUUUUUGGGCCCUNAUAUUUUUUAACAAUGGCCCAAUAUGCAAAAGUUUGUCCAAAAAGUUUAAACAAUUAAAAUUACAAUACAACUAAAAUUUAAAAUGUCUAAAUGGAGAGUCUUGA